UACGGGAGGCAGCAGGAGGAAUUUUGCGCAAUGGGGGAAACCCUGACGCAGCAACGCCGCGUGAGUGAUGAAGGCUUUCGGGUCAUAAAGCUCUGUCAAGUGGGAAGAACCGCCGUAAGGUUAAUAUCCUUAUGGUCUGACGGUACCACUGAAGGAAGCACCGGCUAACUCCGUGCCAGCGACCGCGGUAAU
RNAcentral lists this ribosomal RNA (192 nucleotides) under uncultured delta proteobacterium. RNAcentral's name for it is "partial 16S ribosomal RNA". It matches the Rfam family "Bacterial small subunit ribosomal RNA", at positions 340 to 524 of the family's 1533-position model. Lineage: Bacteria; Deltaproteobacteria. The record is from RNAcentral.